Long non-coding RNA from Pezoporus flaviventris, 2120 nucleotides. RefSeq lists it as uncharacterized. The transcript is spliced from 3 exons. Lineage: Eukaryota; Metazoa; Chordata; Aves; Psittaciformes; Psittacidae. The record is from RefSeq and is a predicted model, not a curated record.
UGGAAGAAAGAACAGAAUCAGAACAUAUUGAUGGUCCAAAUCCUGAUGUCUUUACUUAGAUCAUACUCAGAUAAAACUACUCAAGACUUCUACCUGCAGAAAGACCACAAGAAUUAGCCCUACAAAUGCUUUCCUCAUUUCCAAGAGUACAUUGCACUAUGAUGGGUCCUGAUCCUUUAACUAUUCUCCUGAUCUGAUCCUUAAACAAUCCUCAUGGCUCUUUCUUGAAAUUUCUGCAUAUUUUUCUACUUCCCUAUGGAAGGCUGAAGACCAGACCCAGGAACAAAAGUCCAAGACAACCCACAAUAUUUCUAUUAUGGCAUGUACCACAAGAGCUGCUGUAAAGCUGUUGGAUGUGGGCAGAGAAAUGUUCAAAAGCCAAUGAAUGUGCAAAAGCAUCAGAGUCCUGUGACUAUCUCUAAAUGGCAGAGGAAACUGAAAAAGCCCAUGUUGUAACCUAUACUGGGCUGCACAGUGUUCUUUUUCUGUGGAAGCAAUACUACUUCAGCAUUGUUGGACUAAACUCACAGCAGAAUCCACACACUGACAGAAACGACCAGACUUACAAUGUCAUGUCAGUGAAAGUGGGAAGGCAACUGAAGUGUCCACAGCUUUCUUCUCUCAUCUAAGCAGCUGGUUCAAGUGUAUUUACCUGAAGUAUGGCCGUGUGUGGUACAAGGUAGUUUGGCCUAGGCAGUGUUAGGAUAUGUGGAUUCAGUGCAUUUUCUCAGUAGCCUAUUAUUACUGAACCUCCCAUAGAGCUCAGAUGCUAACACCAGCUGCUCUAGACCCAAAGGAAGAGCAGCCCAGCCCUCAUUUGGAUUCCCCUCCACUCUGUUGGGCUGAAGCACGAAGGUAUGAACAAAAUUCAGUAAAGCUGGACAAAUCCCAUGGGGUCCUAAAAAUGUCUUUAUCUGAGAAGGCCAAGAGCUUUGCCAUCUUCCACUGGCAUUCAGCCACAUGUGGUGAGCCAAGACAGGUGGUCUGCUGGGUUGGAAGACGCACUAAGACAGUCUGGUCUGCUGGACACAUUGGCAUGAGCAAUUCACUGAAUGGUACUCUUCUCCUUGCACAUGAACAAGCCCAGUGCAAUACAAUGGGGCACUGUGCUGCUAAAGAAGUUGUUCUUCAGGUGAGACAUUACACUCAUAAAACUCAGCGGAGGUCCUGACCACUUUGUGGGCAUUAAAGAUCCCAUGACUUCUAGCAAUGAUUUUGGUGUCCUGGCCACGCUCCAAUUUGGAAUGCUUUGUCUUGAACUCUCUAUACAGCUUCUAUUCAGAAAUGUUGUCUUCACAAAGUCUACAUUUUGACGAGCUCAUGUUAAGCUGCCAUUUCAAAGUUGAUGCCAAAACGGACAAAGAAUUUAAAAACAAUUAGUGAUGACUACUGGUAAUUACCUACAUGUGGUUGGUGUAUCAGACUAAGAGAAAUACCUCAGAAUGAAUAAUGUCUUGAAAAUAUAGGGCUUUACUAGGUCUCUGGCUGGGGUUUGAAACACUCAGAACUGUAUGUAUGGCAUCACAUGUUUUUACUGUCAGAACAAGAAGUCCUGUUGUGGUGCUUAAGAUCUUGAAUUCCGGUUGUGCACUAAGUUACCAAUAAUACUUACAUGGUUAUGAGCUCCCUCUGGAAAAGUCCAUCCAACAGAUUUGAAUGUGGUACUUGAAACGGCUUCCUUUGACAAAUGGAGGUUUGAAUCAUGUUCAUCGUAGGAGAUGCCCACCACACUUCACCUUUUGGAAGUGAAGGUCAGACACUAGGAAAACCAGGCCUGCUAUGUCUGCUGGAGACAAUUUAAAUACAACACAUCAAGAUCAUAUUUGCUUUAAGCUUUUCAUUUUCACAGUCUUAUGCAGUGAGAGCGGCUUAUGAAGUCUCCCAUUUAAAGCCUGAUUUGUGAUUUAUAGUGAUUUAUAACAACACUAAAACCUCCCACAAAAGACAAAUUAAUACUCAGAUGCUUUUUCAGCACCUCCUUUGAGAAAAAGAGUUUUGAGCCAGUGCCAAGGAGUGGAGGCAAAUAUUUCUACUGAAACACAAAUGGGUGGCAAAUUCUAGAAUAAUAUUUUGGCAUGACAUAUACACUACAUUUCUUUUCACAUCUUUUCUCUUUCAAG